UUUUUGGCUGCAUUAACAAUGAAUUAAAUGCAGUCUGCUUCAGUCACUAGACAGUUCAGCAACACUGGGACAGAGAAACAUGAUUUCUUUCUAAAGCAUGACAUAGGAGGGGAACUUCAUUGUGUGUGUCUAGACUUGUGCUUAAAAAACUAUAAAGUUCCUAGCAGCUAGUGCUUGAACUGGACUUACUGAACAUAAAAGCAUUCACCUAACACCCUUUGGAGCCCUGAAACAAAUGUACUUUCAAUUACAGCACUGCCCCCAACCUUGGCUACUCUGCAGUAGAAGUGCGCCGGUGCAGUCACCCUUCUCAUCAAAGUGCGGUGGUUACGACUGCCAAGGUCGUCUGCAAGCUGCAUUUGUGCUUCGGCCGUGGCGGACACCACGACACCCUGCCCUGGUCAGCGAGUGGAGGUGGUCAAUACGUGCCUUAGCGUGAAGCUGCUGUGAAGACGUGACUGCUGACAGCCCAGCUUUCAGCUGCUUGACUGGUUUGCAAGUGCAGAACUGGUGGUACUAGCCUCUCAUCUGAGAUAUGUACAUGAAAAAGGCCUUAAAUCCACUGAUUUUCAGGAUAUAAUGUAAGGCUUAUUGUUUUCCUACUUUUUGUCAGUAAAAACGGAAAGUCUUAGCUGUAGUAGUUGGGGAGAGUAAGGGGGGAGGAAUAGUUUGCAUUAUUGCUUCUAUUUUAGUUUGCAAUUGCCCAUACUUUAUAUAUUAAA
Long non-coding RNA from Oxyura jamaicensis (ruddy duck), 722 nucleotides. RefSeq lists it as uncharacterized. The transcript has 2 exons. The record is from RefSeq and is a predicted model, not a curated record. NCBI's taxonomy places the organism in Eukaryota, Metazoa, Chordata, Aves, Anseriformes, Anatidae.